This 498-nucleotide ribosomal RNA is filed under the name uncultured bacterium. Its description in RNAcentral is "partial 16S ribosomal RNA". It matches the Rfam family "Bacterial small subunit ribosomal RNA", at positions 28 to 507 of the family's 1533-position model. The record is from RNAcentral.
GACGAACGCUGGCGGCGUGCCUAAUACAUGCAAGUCGAACGAGAGCGACCGGUGCUUGCACUGGUCAAUCUAGUGGCGAACGGGUGAGUAACACGUGGGUAACCUGCCCAUCAGAGGGGGAUAACAUCCGGAAACGGAUGCUAAAACCGCAUAGGUCUUCGAGCCGCAUGGCUUGAAGAGGAAAAGAGGCGCAAGCUUCUGCUGAUGGAUGGACCCGCGGUGCAUUAGCUAGUUGGUGAGGUAACGGCUCACCAAGGCCGUGAUGCAUAGCCGACCUGAGAGGGUGAUCGGCCACAUUGGGACUGAGACACGGCCCAAACUCCUACGGGAGGCAGCAGUAGGGAAUCUUCCGCAAUGGACGCAAGUCUGACGGAGCAACGCCGCGUGAGUGAAGAAGGUUUUCGGAUCGUAAAACUCUGUUGUUAGAGAAGAACAAGUGCUAGAGUAACUGUUAGCGCCCUGACGGUAUCUAACCAGAAAGCCACGGCUAACUACGUG